UCCGGAUUUAUUGGGUUUAAAGGGUCCGUAGGCGGACUAAUAAGUCAGUGGUGAAAUCCUAUAGCUCAACUAUAGAACUGCCAUUGAAACUGUUAGUCUUGAAUUAUUUGGAAGUUGGCGGAAUGAGUAGUGUAGCGGUGAAAUGCAUAGAUAUUACUCAGAACACCGAUUGCGAAGGCAGCUGACUACGAAUAUAUUGACGCUGAUGGACGAAAGCGUAGGUAGCGAACAGGAUUAGAUACCCUGGUAGUCUACGCCGUAAACGAUGGAUACUAGUUGUCGGGAAAAUUGAGACUCGGUGGCUAAGCGAAAGUGAUAAGUAUCCCACCUGGGGAGUACGAUCGCAAGAUUGAAACUCAAAGGAAUUGACGGGGGCCCGCACAAGCGGUGGAGCAUGUGGUUUAAUUCGAUGAUACGCGAGGAACCUUACCUGGGCUUAAAUGUAUUUUGACAGGACUGGAAACAGUUUUUCCCGCAAGGGCAAUUUACAAGGUGCUGCAUGGUUGUCGUCAGCUCGUGCCGUGAGGUGUCAGGUUAAGUCCUAUAACGAGCGC
This 554-nucleotide ribosomal RNA is filed under the name uncultured bacterium. RNAcentral's name for it is "bacterial SSU rRNA". It matches the Rfam family "Bacterial small subunit ribosomal RNA", at positions 544 to 1099 of the family's 1533-position model. The record is from RNAcentral.